RNAcentral lists this long non-coding RNA (412 nucleotides) under Leguminivora glycinivorella. RNAcentral's name for it is "uncharacterized LOC125233592". The record is from RNAcentral. Lineage: Eukaryota; Metazoa; Arthropoda; Insecta; Lepidoptera; Tortricidae.
UAAUUAUCGAUCUCUGCUACGGAUCAGAUACCAAUCGAAAUUCGUAAUCGAAUUUAACUGCGUCCCUACGUGUUCCUCAACUUAUUAAAUUACUGUGGUGUUUUAAUUAUGUUUAAUAGUGUACCCCGAAUUGGGGUCCCAAGUCCAGAGUGACUUCUUUUGGCUUCCUGCUUGCCGCCCGCCUGCCGUAUUGCUUCUGGCCGCUUUCCCCGACUCAGCGCCACGCAGAUUCUAGCAGCGCUGAACUCAGCGCCGAUCAGAAAAACGGCGCCUACCACCUCGGCAUCGUCAGGGGAGUACUGUGGCUACAAUCGACUAGCGGAAUCCGAUCUUGACUAGUAUUUUUUACGAACCACGACUUUUACCCAUCUUACCGGCUGAGCUUCAUGGGAAUAAAUAUUGUUUUACCGUU